GACAGAGGGUGCAAACGUUGUUCGGAAUCACUGGGCGUAAAGCGCGUGUAGGCGGCAAGGCAAGUCGGAUGUGAAAGCCCGUGGCUCAACCACGGAAGUGCACCCGAAACUGCCUAGCUGGAGUCUCGGAGAGGAAGGUGGAAUGCUUGGUGUAGAGGUGAAAUUCGUAGAUAUCAAGCGGAACACCUGUGGCGAAGGCGACCUUCUGGACGAUGACUGACGCUGAGACGCGAAAGCGUGGGGAGCAAACAGG
RNAcentral lists this ribosomal RNA (253 nucleotides) under uncultured bacterium. Its description in RNAcentral is "partial 16S ribosomal RNA". It matches the Rfam family "Bacterial small subunit ribosomal RNA", at positions 524 to 776 of the family's 1533-position model. The record is from RNAcentral.